This 775-nucleotide ribosomal RNA is filed under the name uncultured Neocallimastigales. RNAcentral describes it as "partial large subunit ribosomal RNA". It matches the Rfam family "Eukaryotic large subunit ribosomal RNA", at positions 24 to 631 of the family's 3401-position model. The record is from RNAcentral. Lineage: Eukaryota; Fungi; Neocallimastigomycota; Neocallimastigomycetes; Neocallimastigales.
UAUGUGAUCGUCUCUCGCAUAUCAAUAAGCGGAGGAAAAGAAACUAACAAGGAUUCCCCUAGUAACGGCGAGUGAAGCGGGAAGAGCUCAAAUUUGAAAUCUUAAAGGGUUUCCCUUUACGAAUUGUAGUUUAAAGAAGUGUUUUCUGUUGAGGUUUUGGUAAAAGUUCUUUGGAAUAGGACAUCAUAGAGGGUGAGAAUCCCGUAUUUGACCUUUACUUUCAACUUUGUGAUACACUUUCAAAGAGUCGGAUUGUUUGGGAAUGCAGUCCCAAAAUGGGUGGUAAAUUUCAUCUAAAGCUAAAUAUUGGCGAGAGACCGAUAGCGAACAAGUACCGUGAGGGAAAGAUGAAAAGAACUUUGAAAAGAGAGUUAAACAGUACGUGAAAUUGUCAAAAGGGAAGCGUUUGACACCAGUGUUGUUUUUCUGAAAAUCAAUUAAAGAACUGUUUAUGCUAAGUUGUUUAGACUUUAUCAGCUAUCUGCUUAGUUUUGAGCUUUUCUUUAAUGCACUUUUCAGUUAACAAGUCAACAUCAAUUUCUUUUGCUGUAAAAAAGCUUGAGGAAGGUGGCUUGAGAUUCGUCUUAAGUGUUUAUAGCCUCUUGCCUAUGCAGUCGGAGAGAUUGAGGUCUGCAGCGUAGAUCCUUCGGGGCUAAAUGCAUUUGUGCUAAGUUAUAGCAUUUUAUAGACAACUUGUUGACUAUGAUUUGUCUUGUAGCUUACUCGCUUAUGUUAUUUUACCUACGCUUAGGAUGUUGAUCUACAGAGCGAGAGU